CCCUUAGAUGUCCGGGGCCGCACGCGCGCUACACUGAAGGAAUCAGCGUGGCUUUCUCCCUGACCCGAAAGGGUUGGGAAACCCGUUGAAUCUCCUUCGUGAUAGGGAUUGGGGCUUGAAAUUGUUCCCCAUGAACGAGGAAUUCCCAGUAAGCGCGAGUCAUAAGCUCGCGUUGAUUACGUCCCUGCCCUUUGUACACACCGCCCGUCGCUACUACCGAUUGAACAGUUUAGUGAGGGCCUCGGAUUGGUCUCGGCCCGCUCUUUACCGGGCGGCGCCGUUGGUCGAGAAGACGCUCGAACUUGAUCGUUUAGAGGAAGUAAAAGUCGUAACA
Molecule: ribosomal RNA, 334 nt
Filed under: uncultured eukaryote
Lineage: Eukaryota
Description: partial 18S ribosomal RNA
Rfam family: Eukaryotic small subunit ribosomal RNA
Source: RNAcentral